GGAAAUGGCACGGCUCGAUAAGCACUCAAAUGGCCAUUGCUAAGAAACCCACCGAGCGAAGCCAUUAACUGGACCCAGGAAGAAGGUCCGGUAGCCUGGUUCAGGGAGGGAGCAGGGAGCCACGAACCGAGCCAUCUCCGGCUCGCCCAGUGUUGCCGAGGCUUGGACGCGCCGGCAGGAACUCGGUGGCGCACUCGUCGCUGUGGGCGCCACUUGUCGUUCUAGCGUUUGAUAACGCGCCAACUUGGAGCAUGCGGGGCUUUGCUGGUUAUACCAAACCAAGACGCAGUCAUGGCCAGUCAACCCGCACCGGAGAGAGUUCAUCUGACACUUCAUCCUCAUCUUCCUCGUUUACCCGCUUCCCUCUGCCAACGGACCGGAGCAUCUUCCGCGCAGACCUCAUUCAUUUUCCCUUUCGUCUUUUUCGUCCCAGUCAAGCCACCGAAUCCGUAGUGGCGGAUUUUCUUGCAUCGUCAGAGUGGGGAUUUUCCUUUAGUAGAAGCGGGUCCUUCCUUUUUCUUCUUCUUCUUUCCUUUCGGCAGUAUGUUGUGUUUUGAAGAUGAUGAGCAGCGAUAGCUCGGGUUCUACGGCGGGGUUCGGAAUCCCUUCCGGCCUCAACCCCAUCAAGACUAAGCGUGGCCCCCCGUCCGAUGAAGCUGUUCCGGUUAGAGGUGGCGUCGGCAGCGGCAAGCUGAGAGUCACCUCAGAUGGCGGCCGGCAGCGGGGAAUCUUUUUCCGCUCAUCGCGGCGCCCGGCCAAACUCGGGGAAUCGAGGUUCGCCGGUGGCUUCCGCGGCGAUGGCGAGCGGGGUGGGUUAAUCGGUUCUUGUCAGAGAGCCUCGUCGCAUGAAAUAUAUUUCAGACGUUCCUUGCUCAUUCCAAACAUCAGUGACCAAAGAUUAAAGCAGUUAUAUUCUGGAAGUCAAGGUACAACAAUAGUGGAGCAAGAUGAUUUGCAUGUAGUAGAACACUUAGCUGGUACCAGUAAUCUGAAGAUUGAAAUGCCAUGCUUAAACAGUGCCACAGGGGAGCUGAAAGCACGUGGUGGUUCUCAUCCAUCUCCACCUGGUUCACAAUGUCCAGAUGAGUUAAAGUGCCUUUUGGGAUCAACAUACACCAGACUGGAUGUAAUCAAAGAAGCAAUGGACCACAGACUUUCUCUUUUCACAAGAGAAGUGUCAGCCAUCCUAGCUGAGCAGGGGAAUAUGCCUGCAGAGUCACGGGAAAUGGCUGAAGAGCUUCUGGUUCUUUCGGCAGUCUGUAAAAAUCUCCCCUGUUCUGAGUUUCAACAUAAAUGUGAAGGCCUAGUUGGAGAUUUAUCAGAAAAGCGACUGCUCUGUCAGUCAGGUUGGUUGAAGCAGUUGUUUAGUAAAAUGAUUUUCAUUUUAGCCCAAUAUUCUAGGCUAGUGCAAGCAUACAAAGAGAAGGGACUGAUCAACAAGAAUUGCCUUUCAAUGUUUAUGGAGUAUCUGAACAGUGUCCCAGACAUAGAAGCAAACUGGACUCCUCAGAGAAGUAGUUCAAGGGUCAAGUCUGACGGAGUUUUUUAUAAAAAUAUGGAGAGUUAUAGAAGUGUAUCGGAUGCUGAAAUGCUAUUAAAACCACAUAGUGAAGAAGUUCUUGAUAAGGAAGACAUUGCAACGGGAGGGUGUCCUGGAAGUGAUAGUAGGGCUCUUUUGUUACAGUCGUCACAGAACGUGCAACAUUCUGAUCAGGCCAUGGAAUCUAAUGCUUCUACAUACUUUGGGACUCUAAAUGAGAAGUUGCAUUCCUCAUGUGAUGUUGUGGAAGCUUUGGUCUUUCAGAAAGAUGGUAGUUCACCUAAGAAACUGCUUGAUGAAUUGAAAUGGAGUUCAAUUCAUGAGCAACAGAGUCAUGAGCACAUUGAUGGAGUAAUCUGCAGAAUAUGUGAGAAACUUGUUCCACCCUCUCAUUUGGAGGCUCAUUCUUAUAUAUGUGCAUUUGCUGAGAAGUGUGAUGUCAAUGAUUUAGAUGUUAAUGAUCGCCUCCUGAAGUUUGCUGAAAUUCUGGAAUAUAUCAUUAAAUGUUACACUUCUACUGAUUACUCUGCUACUUGUGGGAGUCCUGGGGUUUCAAAAGUUCAAACGCCUUUCUCUAGAGGAGUUGAAGGUCAAUCUCCAAAAGUUAAUGAGUGUCCUAAUAUAGGUGUGGAAGGAAUGUUUGAAGAUAUUCAUGAGAUGGACACAGCUUGUAUAGAUGAUGCUCAUGUUGCAGCAUCAAAUAGUUGCACUGGAAUGGGACUGAAAGAUCACUUCUUUGAGUCUUUGUCUGCAGAUUGUACAACUCCAGCUUCCUCUACAAGUACACCAAAGGCAACUCAAUUCAACUUGUUUUGGUUGGGGCUAAAUUCCUUAGAACCAGAGAAUCUAAUGCAGAUGUCUACCCUUGCCCGCAUAGCCAACCGCAUGGCGAGUGUAGAUACGCGACAAGAAGGAGCUGCUGACUGUUUGGAUGCAGUACAUGAAGUUCAGGAUAUUCUGCAAUGUAGCCAUCUCAAAGCACUUGUUGUAGAUACUUUUGGUAGUCGCAUAGAAAGCAUAUUGAGAGAGAAAUUCCUGUCCACCGGCCAGAUGACGAACACAAGAAGUGCUCAAGAUUUAGAUGAUACAGGGUGUUCAACGGAUGCUGAUAGUGGGGCUUCUACUCCCUUAAAUUAUCCAUUGAAGGAAAGGACAACCAUUGAUGAUUUUGAGAUUAUUAAGCCAAUCAGCAAAGGUGCCUUUGGAAAAGUCUUUCUUUCAAGAAAGCGGACCACGGGUGAUUUGUUUGCUAUAAAGGUACUCCGGAAAGUGGAUAUGAUACGAAAGAAUAGUGUUGAACGUAUAUUAGCAGAGAGGAACAUAUUAAUAACUGUCAGAAAUCCUUUUGUGGUGCGUUUUUUCUAUUCAUUCACCUCCAAUGAAAAUCUUUAUUUGGUUAUGGAAUACCUGAAUGGUGGUGACCUGUUCUCACUGUUAAAAAAUAUUGGUUGCUUGGAGGAAGAUGUGGCUCGUAAAUACAUUGCUGAGCUGGUCCUUGCUUUGGAAUAUCUUCAUUCUAUGGGGAUAGUGCAUCGUGAUUUGAAGCCUGCCAACAUUUUGGUUGGACACAAUGGCCACAUUAAGCUUACAGAUUUUGGACUUUCAGAAUUUGGCCUUCUGAAGAGCACAGCUAGUUUGGUUGAAACUGAUACUGGUAGUCCCCUAAAGGUGAAUGAGCACAACCUGCAAGUUUCUCUCGAAUGUAUGCAGUGUGAGAAGAAAAGAAAUCAGGGUCCUGCGGUUGGCACGCCUGACUAUUUGGCACCUGAAAUAUUACUGGGUACAGAACAUGGCUGUACUUCAGACUGGUGGUCAGUAGGGAUCAUCCUUUUUGAGUUUAUAACUGGAAUCCCCCCUUUCACUGCACAAUCUCCUGAGUAUUAUAGGAUUGCAGGGUUGAAGUACUAUGUGAAAGGAGUUUCUCUGUUGCAGUUGUAAGAUAGUUGAUUUUGAGUGGCUUGCUACUGCUAGUGGGCGAAUGAUCUACGAGUCUCAAUAUUUUAUCUGAACAUUUGGAUACCGUCAACAAUCAUGUUGUACUAAAAAUAUGUGCAGACAUGAGAAAGUUACCCACAACAUGGUACUCUACCCAUCAUGGAGUUUGUUCAUGGAUGCUUGAAGUUUCUUGCAACACCAAACAGUCACAGAGGCUAUCAUGUCAGAUAAGAAUUGCUUACCAUUACAGCAUGUAAAACCAAAAUAUAGGAUGGGAUAACAUGCUUAUGCCUUUUGAUUAUUAAUAUAAGAUUAGGUCUUCAAUAUCUACUGUACAUUUUAUUGAGGUAACUGGAAGAAAACAAGGUUGCUACCUAUGUCACAUAGGUACGGGUAUGGGUGCCAGUGCGGGUAUCGGUAUGAGUAUGGGUACGGACCAUUUUCAAAAAACUUGGGUGUGGGGGUAUGAGCGUAUAUAUAUAUAUAUAUAUAUAUAUAUGUAUAUGUAUAUAUAUAUAUAUAUAUAUAUAUAUAUAUAUAUAUAGAGAGAGAGAGAGAGAGAGAGAGAGUUUUCUUUCUUUCCAAUGUAAAUGACUAUGUGAUGAAAAAGGCUUUUGGCUAAAGAAUAACCUCUCUUCUCUGAGAGGGUUGUACAGUUUCAGUUCAGUAAAAGGAGGCUCAUGCUUCUAGCUCGUAAGCCUUUCUCCAUAGUUUCGUCUUUUCUUUCUGUACUGCAAUGGUUACUUGCCUUUGCUGUUUGCUUGCUUCCUUUUUCCUGUUCUUUUUAGUGUGUCCACUAGGUGCAUUUUUUAAUCCGAAGGGUAUGACUACCCAUUCAAAUGUCCUUGGGACAGGUGAAGGCUGUCCAUUCAAUAGAGGAGCUAUCCAUUCGAACCUGCCAGAAACCACUUUCGCAGAUAAAUUUGGAAAAAUAAUAUUUGACAACAUUCUGAACCAGAAGAUCCCUUGGCCAGCUGUUCCUGGCGAAAUGUCAUAUGAG
Molecule: RNA transcript, 4475 nt
Organism: Nymphaea colorata (pocket water lily)
Lineage: Eukaryota; Viridiplantae; Streptophyta; Magnoliopsida; Nymphaeales; Nymphaeaceae
Gene name: probable serine/threonine protein kinase IRE4
Exons: 12
Source: RefSeq, a predicted model, not a curated record